This is a long non-coding RNA of Jatropha curcas, 765 nucleotides long. RefSeq lists it as uncharacterized. Lineage: Eukaryota; Viridiplantae; Streptophyta; Magnoliopsida; Malpighiales; Euphorbiaceae. The record is from RefSeq and is a predicted model, not a curated record.
UGCGAGGCAGGAAAUGGUCUCGAUCUAGGGUAACUAUUGCUUCUUCUAGGCGGAACAUCAGCUCGAAACACCUCAUUGUAGGAAGAGAUUGGCGCGCAAAGACAAACUCGAGUAAACGAAGUGGCGACCCUAAGAGAGGGAUGAUUCCUAUGGAUUUAGUGUGUAUGUGAGAGAGAGAAGGUUUUUUAAAAUUCAAAGAUUUUGGAGUUCAAACCCUGUUCACAUUGGAAGAAUAUGGCCAUGGGAGAGAGGAAAUUUCCGGUAAAGCAGUGAAAUGCGCAGAGAUUCGAAAUUUGAGAAGGGGAAAGAAACUCUCCUCCCGCAAUGGAUAGAAGAUAAUUUAUUCAAAUCACAUAUAAAAUAUGUUAAUUUUUGUAUCUCACACAUACGUGUGAUCUUUAAAAAAUAUGAAAUCUUUAAAACCAUAAACAGUUUAAUGUUUCAAGUUAAUCUAUAAUUAGAAUUUAAAUCCCUCUUUUAGUAAAUGCAUUCACAAACAACUAUAAUUAUAUUAAAAAAAAAGAAUAUAAUGAAAUGGGGAUUGAGAUGAAUUUGUUUGACAAAAACUUUUUCAGGUCAAAAGCUUUAGGGUUCCCAAGUCAUCUUUUGUACAUUGUAGACCAUAAACAUUAUUUUGCCAGACUUGGAUUGGAAAUAAGAAAGAGAUUUACAUAUAUAUGACUUUAUAACUUUGCUGAAAUUAAGGUCUUAGUAUGAAAAUAUGUGCAGUUAUUACUUUAUUUCACAAAUUUGACCUACUAUUUA